UGUAGGUGGGACCAGGCUUCCUGUCUGCCCAUCCCCAGAAGGCAAAGCCUUUAGGUCCCCCCUCUGCUGACUCAGGCACAAAAGGGUUUUCUUUCUUAGUUUUGGAAUCUGAGUGGAAGGGCACAUGCUGUGAAUCAUAUUCUCCUUCUAGUCUCUCGGUUGCUCACGUGGGAGUAAGUAGGAGCUGUGGGACCUUGUCCUUAAGCCAUUAAAGAUGUGCAGAGAACCUCCUGGAGAAACAGAGGCCAUGGGUCCUGACGCCUGAGCCAGCAACUACUCUGAGCACACUGUGAAGGGCGGCUGUGAAUUUUUCUUCUCUCUCAAACAACGAUGCAAUCAUUGGGAUCACUUGUCCUCCUGGGAUGGGUUUGUGUGAGACUGAUGUCUUCCAAAAAACACAGCCCCAAGGGAGUCGAGACGAUGUACCAGGUAGAAUAAGGCACAGGGGAGCCAUUUGACGAAUCAGACAACAGCAGCCGGCCUGCCUGCCAGGUUCCUGCUGGGCACCAUUUCCAGCCCGUGGGGUGAGCACUGAGGAGGCAGCAGGACGCUGAGCUGGCUGCCAACCCGUCUGCUGCUCCACCCACUCUGGUUCUGACUCAGAUGGCACCAGUGGCUCCAGCCCAGGGGACGCCCUGCUCUUGGGCCUCACCAGGUAGGUCCAGACCAGCCCUGGCUCUCAUGUCACUUCAGCAACACACCUGUCAUUGCACCUGUCACCGCACCCAUCACCACAUCCAUCCCAGGGUUUGACCUGCGUUCCUGCAGAGUGGAGCAGGUGGGCGCCUGUGUCCCUGCUCAUGUACGUGCCCUCGGGGUCAGGAUCUCAGCCCAGAAACAGCCUUCCUGAGACACACGCAGGCCUUCCCAGCUGUCCCAGGCGCUGUCCAUGUCAGAACACCCAGGCUGCAGGCCUCUGCCCCUACGGCCCUUGGUUCAUUCUUCCAGUUUCUGCAGCUGAGCUCUCCAGGGGCCUGGGGGAGCCACCUGGGGCUACACAGUUCCUCAGAUCACACCUGCUCCACGGCAGAGCUCCGGAAGGAGCCAAGGUGCAGAAUGACAGCAUGGUCCAGCCCUGGUCACAAGUCUCCCUCCACAGCCCGUUCCUCACGCUGCUUAAAGUGGAAUUUCCAGAUGAGUGCCACACCCAGGCGACAUCCAGGUGGGGCCAGCGCUGCUCAGUUCCAGAGCAAGGAGGUGGUGACCUUCCUGCACCGUCACCAGCUCCUGGGCUUCCCGGCAGCGGGAGGGAGACAGGGGGCCCACGGCUUGCAGCUGAACCUCCAGAAUUCCAGAAGCCCCAGUGCCAGCUCCAGGGAGAAGCCAGACAGCCUCUAGCUCAGUGACCCUUGAGGCCUUGGGACCCGAUAAGCCCCAGCCCCCCAUAGACUGCGGCCUCCAUGCCAGGUACAGGUGCUUCGGACCCUGCCAAGGAGCUACCUGGAAACGGUGGUCGGGGGCCCCGCCCCUC
Long non-coding RNA from Pan troglodytes (chimpanzee), 1471 nucleotides. RefSeq lists it as uncharacterized. The transcript is spliced from 3 exons. Lineage: Eukaryota; Metazoa; Chordata; Mammalia; Primates; Hominidae. The record is from RefSeq and is a predicted model, not a curated record.